Molecule: ribosomal RNA, 120 nt
Filed under: Plectorhinchus mediterraneus (rubberlip grunt)
Lineage: Eukaryota; Metazoa; Chordata; Actinopteri; Lutjaniformes; Haemulidae
Source: RNAcentral
GCCUUACGGCCAUACCAGCCUGNNUACGCCCGAUCUCGUCCGAUCUCGGAAGCUAAGCAGGGUCGGGCCUGGUUAGUACUUGGAUGAGAGACCGCCUGGGAAUACCAGGUGCUGUAAGCC